GGGAACCAUGAGUGACUCCAAAUCUGGAAUUAAUUUGAUGAUGAGACUGGGGCUGCAGGAGCAGCCGAUUCCCAGUCUUCCCCUGCAGGAAAGACCGGGAGGCUGUCCCCGUGGUCUCACCGGCCCUGUGCAUGGUGACCUGGGCCUCCAGGGGAGUGGCCGGGUGCCCUGUUGGAUGUCCUGUAGCGAAUUUGUCUCUGGGAGAAGAGCAGAGAGAUGAAGGCCUCCAUGCCACAGCCCAGGCCGUGCACAUUUGUGUUGACCUUGGCCACAGGCCGACGGCGCGUCUGCGAGGUCUCUGCAUUGCAAGGCCCUUCUCCUCCUGAACUGAAGGCCUUCUUCCUCCUUUCCCCUCCUGAUUCUCUCGCCCUCCUGGUGCAUCCAGGUGCCCGUGAUCCUGUUCCCGUCCUCGGCGUCCGGGGCUCCGUUCUUUCCACCUGGCGUGUCGUUCCCUGAGCUGGAAGCUCCUGCCUGGGUCCUGUCCUCCUGCUGUUCCUCAUCCAAAGUUUCAUGGACACCAAGACAGGCAGUGCCCUCCACCAUAAGCUGGGGAGCCCUUGGGCCCUGGUGUCACCACAUCUUCUCAGAGACCUCCACCUUCCUGGCUUCUCCCUCUUCUUCCUUCCGACGUCUUUGUCCUGCAGACAGCCUGGGUCUUGCUCUGGGUGAGGCAUCCUGGAGCUGAGACCUUGAGGCCUGACCUAGUGGUGCCCCUUGGCACGGCCCGUUCCUGACAACACAGUGGUGUCACAGGAUUGAUUCUAACGCCUCAUGCUCCCUAACAGUGAAAGUGACAGUCAACUGGGCCUGUAGCGUGUUCAGAGGAGCUGGUGAGGAACCCCCUGGAGCCCCGGAAAGCUGGAUCUAGUGCAGCCCCGCACAGCCCUGGUGGAGGCCAGCUCUGCCGUUUGCCGUGUGCCCUGGGGUGCAUGCUGUCUGAGGGUGCACCCUGUGCAUGACAUGGUGGCAGCCCCCACCCUCCCAUGUGGAGGGAACAAUAGCAGUGAAGACCCAGGAGCCACCGGCUUCCAGGAGGAGGCCCUGGUCUUUCUUCAGAGCAACUUCGAGGUGCGACCCAGGAUACACUUUGGGAAAUGCUGGCCGAUGGGCAGCCCCGGCCUCUGGUGGAAGUACACGUCCCUCAUCCCAAUAUAAGUGCGUGCCACCUCCUUGUGCGGAUGCCCAGGUGUUCACUUCCCUGUCCAUGGAGCAUACAUGAAGCACCUACUGAGUGCAGGGGCACCACAGGUGUUGGGCAGAAGGGGCAGCUCGAGGGCUUUGGGGCCGGGGAGGGACAGGAGGUGCUCGCUCUCAUCCUUCCUUGAGUGGGGCUCUCUCAAAAGCUGGGUUCAAGGGUGAUGCCUCCCUUGUCCAUUGUAGGCCUAAUGGAGGAUUCGGGGCAGCAGGACCCAGAGAAGUUGUCCCUGGCCAUGAGCUUGGCCCUGAGCUCUGUGAGUGGCUCUGCCCUCCCUGCUUGUCCAGGUGCCUCCCGCAUCCCAAGCUCAGGGCAGCCCGGGUCUUUCAGUUCAGUGCUGAAGAGAGUGGCUUCCAUGUGUGCCCGCCCUCUCUUCGGAAGGCCGCCUCUGCUCUGAGUGUGCGGUGUGGGCCCUUGCUCUUUAAACGGUUGCGGCGAUGGGUGGGUGAGCAUGUGUGGGGGCCACAAGCUGAGUGUGGGGUUCGAGAGUGACCCAGGUCGGUCCUACCACCUGGAGCUUGCAGACGGGAGCCCCAGGUGAGAGUGGGGUUCCUCCCAACUAGGGGGCAGUGGGAGGUGCUGGCCGAGUCUGUCUCCCAUGAGGGCCAGGCCCAGGUGACUGUUGAUGGUGAGAGGGGUGUGGCCGCUCUCCCGAGAGCCCACAGUCAGUGGAUCAGGGGCGAAUGUCUCAGCCUUGAAGGUGCCUAAGGACCUUGCUCGGCUGUGGUUGAAAACCUUCUGCAGGCCAAGCAAAUGGGAGCUGCAGCAGGGAGAUUAGGCAGCCUGCGGGCCACGGGAUGGGCUGCAACAGGGAACCUGGGGUCUGCUCCUGGGAACACCUUCCUGGGCUGCCCCCACCCGGCCGAUUGGACCCAGGUGGCGGCUCUAACCCGUCCUGCCCACCGUGUGGGCCUGAGGUGCGUGAACAGGAUCCAGGUCCAUGGCCGCUGACUGUGUUCUUCCCGUGCAUUCCUUGCCACUAACCCUCCCACCCCAGACCCCUCCACCUGAGUUCUCAGCCCUAAGGGCCCGUGUGUCUCUGCCCCCAGAGCCAGGCACGGGGCCAGCACCCAGAGUUUGUGGCCCUCUUUGGCUACUGAUUCAUAUGUCUGGGACUGGGUUCUGGUCAAGGGGACUUCCUGAGAAGCCAGUGGCGGUUAGCUUCCAGCUUCGGGGUCCCUUCUUGCACGGACCUCUGCAACACCCUGCACCCAAGUUUUGUGAGGCCCACCAUCCUCUGGGCCUGGGACUUGAGGCAUCCCAGCCUCUUCCCACCACCAUGUGGGGCGUUAAUCAUAGGGUUGACAUUCUCCCCGCUGCACACAACAGGACGUCCACUUCUGAAGCUGUCAAAAGAGCUGCGUAUGAUUCAGGGCAAAAUGGAAUUCUCAGAAUCCCCAGAAUUCACUGGGGAGAACAAUGAAAUGAAGGAGAAAUAUAAUCCAGCAAAGACCCUGCUAGCCCCCUGGGGGUUCUGGCAGAGCCGGGGUCCCUGCCCCAGCUUGCACCCCAGGAGUCACGUGGAGGAAGCGAGCAGUGCCUCCUUCAUGCUUUCUGACUGCUCUGGCCAGAACCCCACUGCAGUAGAUGAGAAACUGCUGCAGAGCCCAGGAAGGAGAUCCUGCCCUGGGCUGGCCCCCAGCUUUCUCCAACCGCCACCCACAAAACUGGUUGUGCCUAGAUGCUCCCAGGGGUUGUGAGGUCAUUGCCCAGAUGUGUGUCGGCCAGGCCUGUGGUCGCUAGUUGGUAACUGUCCAAGGGGGGUAACUGGACCAUCUCCUGCAGGAGCUGCUGCACUGUGCCUGGUCCCAGGUAGGAAUUCAGGCCUUGCCAGGGCACCAAGGGACCCACUGUGGGACCAGCGACCUGGCUGCCUGCAUAGGUGGCAGAAGAUUUCAGUAGAAACAGCACCAAGCAAUGCCAGGACCCCUGGGCCAGGUCAGGAUUAGGAAAGCAAAUUGGACCUGUUAGAAAACUCCGGGGCCAGCAGGAAAGCGGGGAGCCUGCCCUGUGUCAGCCAAAUGGUUAAAGGAGAAGAGUAGAAUCCAGGGGAAAUCAAGCCGUCAAGUCGUUAAUUGACUUUGCCUCAAUCAGCCUGAUGCAUAUUCAUGAGGCGCCAGCCCUCCCCAGGCCUGUGCAGCAGUGUGCUCCCCUCUGUCUGAGCUGCUGUGACAUGGUGGCUCCCGCCUCCGCCUGCCUGCAGUCAGCCUUGAUUGGCCCAGCCGCUCUCUUGAAAAUGCCAUAGCAACCCCUGGCUGGUUGCCUAGCAAUUCCUCCCUUUUCCCUUUUCCUCCCCUAAAGCCCAAGCGAGUAGUCCACAGGCUUCUGGUGGAACAUGUCUCUGUGCCAUGGCAAGUGCCUGUGUGUGUGUGUGCGCACUCAUGUGCGUGAGAGGACAGAUCCGGAAGGGAACACUUCCUGCCAGCAGCGUCUCAAAGACUUGGGAGUGCACCUGCUGCCUGUCUCGGUACCAGCUCACCUGCUCAGGGGUAGGGGACAUGGGGGCAUAGACCCCUGGCCCUGGCAGGGCAUCCUGUGCUGCUCACUUCAUUAUCACCAACCAGGAUCCCCAAACCUGAGUCACUGGGGAGCCGUGGCCGCCAUCAGCAUGGUGGGAUGGAGGGUUGGCUUUCAGCCCUCCCAGGUUCCUUGAUUCUGAAGCAAAGAUGACUUUGAUGCUCAGGCCCCAGCCAGCGGAAGGACAACAGGCUUCUGCCAUUCCAUGGACCAAUGUGGGUCCAAAGGGUCUACCAUUCUGCACAGGGCCAACUUCAGGGCAGCUGUCCGGGGCUGCAGAUGCUCCCUCACAGGCCAGGUGGGGCUUUCAGCUGUGACAAAGUCUGGAUGUCCACCCCUGGUGAAGCCACUAGGAGGCUGUGGGGGAGCCGAGGGUAGUGUCCAGGAGCCAUUGAGUCCAUCUCAAGGCUCUCUCUCCUCUUGGAUAGUGUGUGCCCGUGUGCAUGUGUGUGCCUGAGCAUAUAUAGGGUGCCCUCAGAGAGUGCAUUGGGUGAUGAUGACUGAUGUGGGCAGUCUUUUCUUUGAUCAAUGGAAGCAAAAUCAUUUAUGGCCCACGCUGAGCUUCCUUCUCUGGUUUCCUGUUAAACACAGCAAAUGUGUGUCUCCAAUAAAAAGCUACACAGCAA
Long non-coding RNA from Homo sapiens (human), 4338 nucleotides. RefSeq lists it as uncharacterized. Lineage: Eukaryota; Metazoa; Chordata; Mammalia; Primates; Hominidae. The record is from RefSeq and is a predicted model, not a curated record. The transcript has 2 exons.